AAGUCGUAACAAGGUUUCUGUAGGUGAACCUGCAGAAGGAUCAUUAGUGAAGAUUCAAGGGGCCCAGCCAUACAGACGUACAAUAAGUGUGCUCUGCGUGGCGGCAUCCGCAUCCACUAUACCAUACCCAUAAACCGGUGUGCACUGUUCUAAGGGAGUAAGAAAAGAAGAAGGGGGGAGGGGGAGAGAGAGUGCAUGUGCUUUGCAUGAACUCUCUCUCACUCUCCACUCUCUUUCUCUCUCCGGUUAAUUUACAAACUCGUAUGGAUUUGUAUGAACGUGAGAUAUAUCGUUGGACCGUCACUGGCCAACAAAUAUACACAA
RNAcentral lists this unclassified non-coding RNA (324 nucleotides) under plant metagenome. RNAcentral describes it as "partial contains small subunit ribosomal RNA and internal transcribed spacer 1". The stretch from base 1 to 46 matches the Rfam family "Eukaryotic small subunit ribosomal RNA", at positions 1786 to 1831 of the family's 1831-position model. The record is from RNAcentral.